This 468-nucleotide ribosomal RNA is filed under the name uncultured bacterium. Its description in RNAcentral is "bacterial SSU rRNA". It matches the Rfam family "Bacterial small subunit ribosomal RNA", at positions 60 to 528 of the family's 1533-position model. The record is from RNAcentral.
AGUCGAACAAGAACGUGGGGGCAACUCCACUAGUAAAGUGGCAGACGGGUGAGUAACACGUGAACAAUCUACCCUCGAGUGGGGAAUAACACCGCGAAAGCGGUGCUAAUACCGCAUAACAUCUCCGGGUCGCAUGGUCUGGAGAUCAAAAGCGAAAGUUGCUUGAGGAGGAGUUCGCGCCUGAUUAGCUAGUUGGUGAGGUAACGGCUCACCAAGGCAACGAUCAGUAGCCGGCCUGAGAGGGCGAACGGCCACACUGGAACUGAGACACGGUCCAGACUCCUACGGGAGGCAGCAGUGGGGAAUUUUGCGCAAUGGGCGAAAGCCUGACGCAGCAACGCCGCGUGGAGGAUGAAGGCCCUCGGGUCGUAAACUCCUGUCAGUGGGGACGAAUGCCUCGCAAGAGGUUUGACUGUACCCGCUGAGGAAGCCACGGGUAACUCCGUGCCAGCAGCCGCGGUAAUACGG